GCCAAAAGGCAAUGAAUGGCACAUCUUCUUGCAACACCUCUCCCCAAUAAGCGAAUGCCGAAUGCCCCCCCCUUAUCUUCCUCUGCUAAACCCCAAAAUGCAACCAAAACUAACCAAAAACUUGGGAUUUUAGUCCUUGUUUCCUUAUCCCUUUACUUCUCUCUCUCUCAAAUGGCUUCCAUUUCUCUACCCAAUCACUCUUUACCCUCUCUGCUUCCUUCUCAGAAACCCACAACCCAAUUUUAUACUUCUCAAAACCUCUCAAUUCUCUCCAAAUCAUCACAGUCUCAAUUUUAUGGCCUUAAGGUUUCUCAUUCUGCUUCUCUUUCAAUCCCAUCCUCUUCUUCUGCCAAGACUACCAUUGUCGCUAAGGUAAACAAAGGGCAGGUGCCACCACCCUUCACAUUGAAAGAUCAGGAUGGGAAGAACGUGAACCUUUCCAAAUUCAAAGGGAAGCCUGUGGUUGUCUAUUUCUACCCUGCUGAUGAGACCCCUGGCUGCACCAAACAGGUAUUUCUCUGUUGCUUGCCUUAAAGCUUUUGCUUUAAUCUUAGGAGAAGCAGGGAUUCUGUAAUAAUGUAGGCUAGUCAUUAUGAUAUAAAUGUACAAACUUCAUGUACAAUAUGAAUUUCAUGUCUUGGAAAAAUUAAAAAAAAAUAAUGGAAAUAACAAAUUAUUCUUAUAAAUACAACAUGGGUUGACGCCUCCAUCAAGAAAAGGCAUCUUUCCACGUAAUGCAGAUACUAAAAUGGAGAUAUCUUUGCAGGCCUGUGCUUUCAGGGAUUCUUAUGAGAAGUUUAAGAAAGCAGGAGCUGAGGUUGUUGGAAUCAGUGGUGAUGAUCCAUCAUCGCACAAGGUAACAGAAGAACAUCUUUUUCUUUCCUGGAGCAAGCUUAAUGUUAAAAAGUUUCUAUUUUUACAAUUUUAGUUGGAUAUUAAUAACUCUUAAGAAUGAGAUAACAACUACCUUUACCAGCUUUAGUUUUUGUAACCAUUCCUAAACUCUUAUCCUAGCAUUCUCCUAAUAGUAGUGAAGUCCCGAACUGAGCUAAAGCUAGUUAAUUUACACACCUAAAAAUAUUUUGAAUGAAUUUUGUUUGCAUCAGUUAUGCCCACAAAAUUAGAUUCCUUAUUGUUAACAUUCACUCAUUAAUUAAUCUCAUUCAGACUCCUAUCAAUGUUUGUGUUUGACCAGGCAAAAAGCCCAAAUUAGCUAUGCAUAUAUGUUAUCCAUGGUUAUUUGCAGUCACAUGUCCCCUUUCUUUUUAUGCCGGUUCUGUUAUCUUGCAAUCCAUAACAAAUGCCACAGCCUACAAGAGAUGAGAGCGCAAUUGAACUAACAUUUGCGUUGAUCUGAGUCUAAAGCCUAAAGCAUCAAGCUUAUGCCUUUUCAUAUCACAGAAUGGAAGUAAUCUUACCAAUAUUACUCCACAAUUAAUAUUUUAGUUAGUUUUUGCUUUAUAAGACAAUCAGCAUUUGCCAAGUAUAAAGCUUACAAUUUAGCUUUACAACAUACUUUAACAGUUGAGCAGACCUUUAUUUUUUUCUUCUCAUAACUAAUACCAAUCAUGCUAGAAGUUGAAGGAAAAAACUUGAAAUGGUUGUAGGCAUUUGCAAAAAAAUACAGACUUCCAUUUACAUUGUUGAGCGAUGAAGGAAACAAAAUAAGAAAAGAGUGGGGCGUUCCAGCUGAUCUAUUUGGAGCAUUGCCUGGGAGACAGACAUAUGUUCUUGACAAGAAAGGUGUGGUUCAACUCAUCUACAACAACCAGUUCCAACCUGAAAAGCAUAUUGAUGAAACCCUGAAACUACUUCAAAGCCUUUGAACCCUUCAUUCUAUGAUCUGUAUUGCUUUUAUCUUACCUUUUCCCCUUUAAUCUGUUCUUUUGGAGUUAACAUUAUUGUUGUAUUGAUCAAGUCUUUGUAGCUAGUUACUAGCCAGUUGGUUAUAUCCAUUAUUCAUGCAUAUAUAUGUAUAUGCAUUCAUAAGGUAUGAAGUGCGAUUUCUCAUUAAAGGUGAAAACAUCAAUUUAUGGACCGAAAAGAGAUGAGCACUUUUUUGUUCUCGAAGAUAAAGUAUUAUAGAUAAACACUUGUUUUAGCCUAGUAAAAUGGAGAAAUAAUAUGUUUGCUUGAGAAAAUGGGCCAACCUUGUAAAGUUCAAAGGGGUAUCAUGCGAUGGACUAUUGCUGCUUAGGCCCUUACCUGGCAACUGCAGAGGAUUAUUGUUGUGGAUGUGCAUAAUCAAAUGGUUUGUGUUCUAGAAUUAGCAAUCCCUCAUCUUAUAGGUGGUUGAUCUCUGCCCUUAGGUGAAAUGCUAAUAUCUAAUUAACACACCAGCAAAUAGACAUACAGUAAAUUGCCAUAUGAUAGAUUUCUUGGUAACUUACAGCACAAUAUUUUUAAUCCCUUUUAUCGGGUGAUAAAUGGCAAUUUAUUUGCAUAGAUCUCAGAUGCUCGUAUACAUACGAUAAGUUCAUUAUUUUUCAGUUGCUGUUUCCUUCUUUUGCUUAAGGACCCACCUAAAUUUAAAUACAUAAGAGCACUAAUGUGCUUAUUAAUUAUUAUAUCUAGAAAUAAAGAAUGACAUAUUAAUGUGAUUGUAAUUUAUUCCAGCUUCUCAUAGUCCUGACUGCCAUAAGGGCUAAAUGCUUCGGCUAGCAAGUUCUUCUUCCUCCAGGAACAACACCCCAUUUCUUUACAGAUUUCAUCACUGUGGUUGAUGCUAAAAGUGGAAAUGCAAUGCCUUUUAUAGAAUCUGGUUGACCUCUUCAUAAUUUCAAUCUCCUUGGACACUUGGUCAAGCAUCUUUUCCACAGUUGGGAGCUUAAAUUUAUUGUCAACGAGUCUUGCCAACCACAUGCUACGCAGCUCUGCAGUGUGAAGGUUUGCAACACUUUCUAUGUAACCCACAAAAGCCAUGUUUGGAAUCAGGGGAUGAAUGGUUCCCCUGCAAGAAGAACAAUUAAGAUUAUCACUAUCCAAACUUUUUUGGUGAAACUUAUUUGUGAUGAAGGAGAGAUUACUAUCAUAUAAAGGAUUACCUGUAUAAGGGCAUGACACCAUAAGGGUACUCUAAUAAACUAUAAAAAGGCUUUGGUAAGAUAUUUUUG
This 3113-nucleotide unclassified non-coding RNA is filed under the name Hevea brasiliensis (rubber tree). The record is from RNAcentral. Lineage: Eukaryota; Viridiplantae; Streptophyta; Magnoliopsida; Malpighiales; Euphorbiaceae.